UACGUAGGGACCAAGCGUUGUUCGGAUUUACUGGGCGUAAAGGGCGCGUAGGCGGCAAUUCAAGUCAGUUGUGAAAUCUCCGAGCUUAACUCGGAACGGUCAACUGAUACUGUUUUGCUAGAGUGCAGAAAGGGCAACCGGAAUUCUUGGUGUAGCGGUGAAAUGCGUAGAUAUCAAGAGGAACACCUGAGGCGAAGGCGGGUUGCUGGGCUGACACUGACGCUGAGGCGCGAAAGCUAGGGGAGCGAACGGG
RNAcentral lists this ribosomal RNA (253 nucleotides) under uncultured bacterium. Its description in RNAcentral is "partial 16S ribosomal RNA". It matches the Rfam family "Bacterial small subunit ribosomal RNA", at positions 524 to 776 of the family's 1533-position model. The record is from RNAcentral.